AUGCGUCACCCACUCCCAUGGAUCACUUCCUCACUGCAAGCCCGAUCCUGCCGGCUGGCCACGUCCGCCAGGAACUGGGCAAACGCCAAGCGCGACGACCCGCCGUCGUUGCAAGCCACAGCCGCGGCUUCCAUGUACGCCGCCGCUCGUGCCCUGAGCUCUCUACCCUCCUCGGACUCCAUCACAAGCCUUACCUUGGCCUCCACCUCGCCGGCCUUGACCAGCCCCUGCUGCCACCCGACCAUCUCCGCGGCGAUCCCCAUGUCCCCCACCAUGUGCACCUUGUUCAUCUUCUGCUCCGAGUACAGCGGCCAGCACAGCAUUGGCACGCCCGCCGUGACGCCCUCCAGCACCGAAUUCCACCCGCAGUGCGUCACGAAGGCCCCCGUGGCCCUGUGGCGGAGGACGUCCACCUGUGGCGCCCACAGCUUGACGACGAGGCCACGGCCGUUGGUUCGCUCCAUGAACCCGUCCGGCAGGAGCGCGUCGAGGUCCGGGUCGGCACUGGGGUCGUGUGGCCUCUCCGGGUCGUCGCUGACGGGGGUUCGCACAACCCACAAGAAGCGGUGGCCGGACUUGUCGAGGCCGACGGCGAUCUCCCUGAGCUGCUUCGCGGAGUGGUUUCCGGUGCCUAUGCUCCCGAAGCAGAGGAACACGACGCUGCGGUCCGGUUGGCUGUCUAGCCAGGCGAGGCACUCGUGCCGUUCUUUUGCCUCGGCGUCGGCGAUGCUGCUGACAAAUGGACCGACGCAGUACACCGGAGGCAAUGCCUGGCCGGGGACACACCGAGGAUCCCUGAGAGCAGCCACCGCACGAGCCUCCAGCGACUCGAAGGUGUUCACUAGCGUGCCGUCGGCCUCCGGGAUCCGGCACAGCAAGGCCAUCAUCGCCUUGUAUGUGUCGCUCUCCGGGUCCUCGAGCACCUCGCCCGACAGGUGCGAAGCCGGCAUGGGCGGAAGGCCGAAGAGCUCGAGAGGGGUGUCACCAAGCUCCUUGAAGCUCCCACCGCCCUCUGCGAGCACCGUAGGGAGCUGGGCAAAGGCGACGAAGGUGGCGGCGCUGGAAGUGAACAAGGUGUAG
This 1080-nucleotide ribosomal RNA is filed under the name Triticum aestivum (bread wheat). Its description in RNAcentral is "partial small subunit ribosomal RNA". The record is from RNAcentral. Lineage: Eukaryota; Viridiplantae; Streptophyta; Magnoliopsida; Poales; Poaceae.